GAGGGUAUAGCUCAGGCGUAGAGCACAUGCUUAGCAUGCAUGAGUUCCUGGGUUCAAUCCCCAGUACUUCCA
Camelus ferus (Wild Bactrian camel) is the source of this 72-nucleotide transfer RNA. It matches the Rfam family "tRNA". From Rfam's summary of the family: Transfer RNA (tRNA) molecules are approximately 80 nucleotides in length. Their secondary structure includes four short double-helical elements and three loops (D, anti-codon, and T loops). Further hydrogen bonds mediate the characteristic L-shaped molecular structure. tRNAs have two regions of fundamental functional importance: the anti-codon, which is responsible for specific mRNA codon recognition, and the 3' end, to which the tRNAs corresponding amino acid is attached (by aminoacyl-tRNA synthetases). tRNAs cope with the degeneracy of the genetic code in two manners: having more than one tRNA (with a specific anti-codon) for a particular amino acid; and 'wobble' base-pairing, i.e. permitting non-standard base-pairing at the 3rd anti-codon position. The record is from Rfam. NCBI's taxonomy places the organism in Eukaryota, Metazoa, Chordata, Mammalia, Artiodactyla, Camelidae.